ACUCUUGUUCAUUUUCUGCUUUACUUGUUGCGUGAUUGUGGCUGGUAUGUGCCUUCUGUGUUGUUCCUUCUUUUGUAUGUGGGUUGCUGCUGCCAGGAGUUUUAUCCCAUGCUUUUGAUUAUCUGUUAAAAUGUUCUCAUCUUGCCUAUAUUGUUGUUUGUUUGUUCUUGCCUCUAUCUUUUGUAAUUCACUAUGUUCCCCAGUAGUUUCAUCUUCUUUCUGCCUGAUGUUAGAAGGUUGUUCUUCAUACGGCUGCUUAUCUCCAAUAGUAUUUUCCCCUAGCUUCAGAUCAUUACCCCAUGUGUUUCCUUCUCCUACUUCAGUGUCAUUGUUGUCAUCUAGUGUUCCAAAUUUGUUAGCUAUUUUUACCAUUCUAUCUUUUUGCUGCUCUUGUCUCGGGUUCCAGACCUGCUCCAUUCGUCCUUUAAAGUGUAAUCUACCUCUUUUCAAAUAGCUUUUCUUCUUUUGUUCCUGGAACUCACCAUCUUUCUUUCUCCCAUUACCUAUGUUGUCACUGUGACCCUAAUCACCUUGCUUGUUCUCAACUCUUAAACCCUUCCUGCAUUGGUAUCCUCAUUUGUAUUGUUUUUGUCCCUAUCCCCAUCUUUCUCUUCUUUGGGGUAUAAUUCUGGAUGAAGGAAAAACAUUCCACUUAUUGUGUUCCUGUAAUUUACAGUUUUUGUAGUAUUUUGGAACGUGGUCAUAUUUGAUAGUAAUCCACUUCUCCUUGAUUUCUCCUAUCUUCUUUCUCAUACCAAUAUUAAUUCUCCUUGGGAAUUCUCCUAGUAAAUCAACCUCCACUUUGACCCUAGCACAAAUUGGUCGAGUCUUAUUCUUUGUGGCCAAAUCCACUUGUAGAGGUUUCCUUACUGCAGCUGCCAUCGAAAAAAUUGCGUCCUUACCAAAAAAGUUUGGUGGCAGUGAUGGGAAUGAGAUCCAUGCGAUGGCUAUUAAAGUUUCUUCCUCCAUAUCAAAUAAAGGGUCCCAUUUAAGAGUUCGCAUGAGGUAGGUCUAGUGGUGGUGCAUUAUGUAAAACUGUGGUUUUGAUAGUAAGAUGACAUAAUCCUCCAUCUCUGUAGCCCGUAUGAGAACAUAUUAUGUUAGUCAGCAAUCCAAUAUUUACUUCUCCCUUUAGUUCACAUUGCUUUGGUAUUAAUUUCCUUAGGGCUUGUAUCUCAGGCCAUCAGUAGGAAAUUUUUCCUAUUACUGCAUAUUGUAAUUCUUUAUUUAAAAUCAUCUGAUGGACUUCCUCGAGAAAAUGACAUAAAUAGUCCCCCAACUAUAGGAGUAGGUCUAAAAUGGUCCCUGAACUAUACACUUAAUGGAUUUAGUCCUUCAAUUAUUCAAAAACUUGUCAGUUUUGGUCCCUUAACUAUACACUUAUCAAUUUUAGUCCCUUAACUAUAAACUUACCGAUUUUAGUCCUUUAAGUAUUCAAAAACUUAUCAAGUUUGGUCUUUGUCCUUUUUUUUUAAAUACAAAUAGCUUAGGUUUAUAUUAACAAAAUCUAUGCCUCGAGAAAUUAAAUCCUUUAGUCAACUUUUUUCUGUUGGUUCUCUCUCCGUUACUUUUUCUUCAAAUUAACCUUACGCGAAGAACCUUAACCUUAACGAUUUAAAAUAAAAUUCACGAGGAAAGAAAAUAUAAGUCAUAAUUUAUUCAAUAGCGGAUAAAAUGAAGAAUAUUAUUGUUACUAAUGACUUGAAUAUGUUAAACUUUAUUAUAAAAAGAAAAAAAUUAUUAUCCGUUAAAUCCAAAGUUUGUACUCCAACGAUUUCAUUGAACGGAAUUUGUUUAAUUUUUCAGAAAUGGUAAUUUAUAAAAUGGUAGGUUUGCAAUUUUUUAAACUUUUUAUUACAUAUAUCAAUUUUAUUAUUCUAUUCAUUUUAUUUUACAUAAAGAAAUUUGAGUAAAUUAAAUAAAAUUCGCAUUGAUUAGCAUGAUGCAUGAUAAGUUUCUCGAACAAAACUAUCAAAGUUUAGGAUGGACAAAGACCAAACUUGAUAAGUUUGUGAAUACUUAAAGGACUAAAAUCGGUAAAUUUAUAGUUAAGGGACUAAAAUCGGUAAGUGUAUAGUUAAGGGACCAAAGUUGAACUAAAUCCGUUAAGUGUAUAGUUCAGGGACCAUUUUAGACCUACUCCUAUAGUUGAGGGACUAUUUAUGUCAUUUACUCGGACUUCCUCCUUCUCCCAAAUUAUUCUUGGUUCUCCAUGUAGGUAUGCAACUUGCUUCAUCGGGAUUGGUUUGUUUGACUGUAUUGGCAAAGGUUGUUGAUGAGGGUUGUCCAGUGUUGGAUAGAAUAUGCAAAGUUGGCCUGGCUUCCGAUGGUGGUGGCUGACCGGCGGCAGAGAUUAGGUUUAGCUAAAAUUUCGAAAGAUUUCGUAAUCUUUCUAUAACUGAAUGAUUAUAUACUUAUUUAUUGGGGGGAAAAUACUAUCUACUAGGUUUAUAUUUCUCAUAAUGCAUUUUUGUUCUAACCAACCUAUAUGUAAUUAAAGGAAAAACAUUAACUUUUAUUUUAUACAUGCAUAAUUUAUUUAAGGUAUGAUAGACUACUGAUCACAAAUUAAAUAAAUGGUCAAACUCUUAAUAGAAAUUUUGAUUUAUUUU
This 2612-nucleotide long non-coding RNA is filed under the name Solanum tuberosum (potato). RNAcentral's name for it is "long non-coding RNA (STUB_LNC007868)". The record is from RNAcentral. Lineage: Eukaryota; Viridiplantae; Streptophyta; Magnoliopsida; Solanales; Solanaceae.